Carlito syrichta (Philippine tarsier) is the source of this 850-nucleotide RNA transcript. It is a transcript of the gene named cellular retinoic acid binding protein 1, with no coding region annotated. The transcript is spliced from 4 exons. The record is from RefSeq and is a predicted model, not a curated record. NCBI's taxonomy places the organism in Eukaryota, Metazoa, Chordata, Mammalia, Primates, Tarsiidae.
UCCGCCUUGCAGGCUCAGAGGGUGCCCGCUGCGCCGCCGCUGUCCGCGCCUGCCGCCGCCACCUCCGCCACCUCCGCCACCAUGCCCAACUUCGCUGGUACCUGGAAGAUGCGCAGCAGCGAGAAUUUCGACGAGCUGCUUAAGGCGCUGGGUGUGAACGCCAUGCUGAGAAAAGUGGCUGUGGCGGCUGCGUCCAAGCCUCACGUGGAGAUCCGCCAGGACGGGGAUCAGUUCUACAUCAAGACGUCCACCACUGUGCGCACCACGGAGAUCAACUUCAAGGUUGGAGAAGGCUUCGAGGAGGAGACAGUGGACGGACGCAAGUGCAGGGUGAGGCCCCCAGAGCCCGUGCAGCGUCCCCGGGGCCCUGCUCCGUGCCCGUGGCCCACCGCAGCCGGAGCAACCCAUGUCUCUCUUUGCAGCCUGGGGCGCGCCUUGCUUGCAGGAGUUUAGCCACUUGGGAGAAUGAGAACAAGAUCCACUGCACGCAAACUCUUCUAGAAGGGGACGGCCCCAAAACCUACUGGACCCGUGAGCUGGCCAAUGACGAACUUAUCCUGACGUUUGGCGCCGAUGACGUGGUCUGCACGAGAAUUUAUGUUCGCGAGUGAAGGCGGCCGGCUUUCUCCUACUUUCGGGAAGGCAUGCAGGUUCCCCUAAGGAAAAUGUCAUAGUCCGAACUGCCAGGGGACCGCCCCACCCCAUCAAUGUUAGGUGAUCCCAUUUUCCCCAUGACAACGUUGUAGUGUCCCCCUCCCCCACCCCCAGGCCUUCAUGCCUCUUGUAACCCUGGUGCUCUGUAGUUUAGCAUUUGCACGGUUUCGUCGGAUAUUAAACUGGUUGGACACAU